RNAcentral lists this transfer RNA (72 nucleotides) under Camelus bactrianus (Bactrian camel). It matches the Rfam family "tRNA". Rfam says of the family: Transfer RNA (tRNA) molecules are approximately 80 nucleotides in length. Their secondary structure includes four short double-helical elements and three loops (D, anti-codon, and T loops). Further hydrogen bonds mediate the characteristic L-shaped molecular structure. tRNAs have two regions of fundamental functional importance: the anti-codon, which is responsible for specific mRNA codon recognition, and the 3' end, to which the tRNAs corresponding amino acid is attached (by aminoacyl-tRNA synthetases). tRNAs cope with the degeneracy of the genetic code in two manners: having more than one tRNA (with a specific anti-codon) for a particular amino acid; and 'wobble' base-pairing, i.e. permitting non-standard base-pairing at the 3rd anti-codon position. The record is from Rfam by way of RNAcentral. Lineage: Eukaryota; Metazoa; Chordata; Mammalia; Artiodactyla; Camelidae. RNAcentral also lists the same sequence under 1 other name.
GAGGGUAAAACUCAGUGGUAGAGUGUGUGCUUAGCAUGCGUGAGGUUCUGGGUUCAAUCCUCAAUACCUCUG